UACGAAGGGGGCUAGCGUUGCUCGGAAUCACUGGGCGUAAAGGGUGCGUAGGCGGGUCUUUAAGUCAGGGGGGAAAUCCUGGAGCUCAACUCCAGAACUGCCUUUGAUACUGAAGAUCUUGAGUUCGGGAGAGGUGAGUGGAACUGCGAGUGUAGAGGUGAAAUUCGUAGAUAUUCGCAAGAACACCAGUGGCGAAGGCGGCUCACUGGGGGUGAUCUGACGCUGAGACACGAAAGCCAGGGGAGCGAACGGG
RNAcentral lists this ribosomal RNA (253 nucleotides) under uncultured bacterium. Its description in RNAcentral is "partial 16S ribosomal RNA". It matches the Rfam family "Bacterial small subunit ribosomal RNA", at positions 524 to 776 of the family's 1533-position model. The record is from RNAcentral.